RNAcentral lists this ribosomal RNA (560 nucleotides) under Chaetomium sp. L16. Its description in RNAcentral is "eukaryotic LSU rRNA". The stretch from base 246 to 402 matches the Rfam family "5.8S ribosomal RNA". Lineage: Eukaryota; Fungi; Ascomycota; Sordariomycetes; Sordariales; Chaetomiaceae. The record is from RNAcentral.
UCAUUUAGAGGAAGUAAAAGUGGUAACAAGGUCUCCGUUGGUGAACCAGCGGGAGGGAUCAUUACAGAGUUGCAAAACUCCCUACACCAUUGUGAACGUUACCUAAACCGUUGCUUCGGCGGGCGGGCCCCGGGGGUUUACCCCCCGGGGCGCCCCUGGGCCCCACCGCGGGGCGGCCCGCCGGAGGUCACCAAACUCUUGAUAAUUUAUGGGCCUCUCUGAGUCUUCUGUACUGAAUAAGUCAAAACUUUCAACAACGGAUCUCUUGGUUCUGGCAUCGAUGAAGAACGCAGCGAAAUGCGAUAAGUAAUGUGAAUUGCAGAAUUCAGUGAAUCAUCGGAAUCUUUGAACGCACAUUGCGCCCGCCAGGUAUUCUGGCGGGCAUGCCUGUUCGAGGCGUCAUUUCAACCAUCAAGCCCCGGGCUUGUGUUGGGGACCUGCGGCUGCCGCAGGCCCUGAAAAGCAGGUGGCGGGCUCGCUGUCACACCGAGGGUAGUAGCAUACAUCUCGCUCUGGGCGUGCUGCGGGUUCCGGCCGUUAAACCCCCUUUAACCCAAGGU